UACGAAGGGGGCUAGCGUUGUUCGGAAUCACUGGGCGUAAAGCGCACGCAGGCGGAUCGUUAAGUCAGGGGUGAAAUCCCGAGGCUCAACCUCGGAACUGCCUUUGAUACUGGCGAUCUUUGAGUCCGGGAGAGGUGAGUGGAACUCCGAGUGUAGAGGUGAAAUUCGUAGAUAUCGGGAGGAACACCAGUGGCGAAGGCGGCGAUCUGGGAAGAUACUGACGCUGAGGGGCGAAAGCGUGGGGAGCGAACAGG
This 254-nucleotide ribosomal RNA is filed under the name uncultured bacterium. RNAcentral describes it as "partial 16S ribosomal RNA". It matches the Rfam family "Bacterial small subunit ribosomal RNA", at positions 524 to 776 of the family's 1533-position model. The record is from RNAcentral.